RNAcentral lists this ribosomal RNA (423 nucleotides) under uncultured bacterium. RNAcentral's name for it is "bacterial SSU rRNA". It matches the Rfam family "Bacterial small subunit ribosomal RNA", at positions 361 to 776 of the family's 1533-position model. The record is from RNAcentral.
AUCUUCCGCAAUGGACGAAAGUCUGACGGAGCAACGCCGCGUGAGUGAUGAAGGUUUUCGGAUCGUAAAACUCUGUUGUCAGGGAAGAACAAGUACCGGAGUAACUGCCGGUACCUUGACGGUACCUGACCAGAAAGCCACGGCUAACUACGUGCCAGCAGCCGCGGUAAUACGUAGGUGGCAAGCGUUGUCCGGAAUUAUUGGGCGGAAAGCGCGCGCAGGCGGUUCCUUAAGUCUGAUGUGAAAGCCCCCGGCUCAACCGGGGAGGGUCAUUGGAAACUGGGGAACUUGAGUGCAGAAGAGAAGAGUGGAAUUCCACGUGUAGCGGUGAAAUGCGUAGAGAUGUGGAGGAACACCAGUGGCGAAGGCGACUCUUUGGUCUGUAACUGACGCUGAGGCGCGAAAGCGUGGGGAGCAAACAGG